Prinia subflava (tawny-flanked prinia) is the source of this 7248-nucleotide RNA transcript. RefSeq lists it as uncharacterized. The transcript has 3 exons. NCBI's taxonomy places the organism in Eukaryota, Metazoa, Chordata, Aves, Passeriformes, Cisticolidae. The record is from RefSeq and is a predicted model, not a curated record.
AAGAAUUGGGGCGUGGGAAAGGGGCGGGGCCUGGAGGAAAGGACUGGAGAGAAUGGUGUGAGUAAAAACAGGUACAGAAUAGUAUAAACCAGUAUAGACCAGUAUGGACCAGCAUGGGCCAGUACAGACCAGUAUGGAUCAGUAUGGACCAGCACAGACCAGUUUAGAUGAGUAGGGUUCUGGGCUGGACACGGGCUGGCUGUGAGGCUGAUGGUGCUGUCUGUGGCUGUGUGUGAGUAAAAACCAGUAGUGACCAGUAUGUACCAGCAUGGACCAGUAUAAACCAGUAUGGACCAGUAUGGACCACUAUAGAUGAGAAUGGACCAAUAUAGGGCACUAUGGACAAUAUGGACCAGUAUGGAUCAGUAUAGAGCACGGGGGACCAGUUCAGACCAGUUCAGAUCAGUACAAGUUUCUACAGACCAGGAGAGACUUCUCCCCGCCCUGACCAGUAUAGACCAUCUCUGACCAGUAUGCACCAGUAUGAACCAGUACAGACCAGUACAGCCCUUCCCCUGCCUGGGGAUGGGGACACUGGGAUGGAACGGGGGACACUGGGGUGGUGACACCGGGACAGCCCUGGUGGCACUGGGCUGGAACUGGUGGCACUGCCCAGUCCCUGGUGCCACCUGUGCGGUGUCCCCGUGUCCCCACAGUGUCCCUGUGCUCGGCCCGCACUGCCGUGGGCGUGGCCAAGGAUGAUCACUGGUGGGGGAGGGGUGGGGGCUGAGCCGUGAUGUCAUAUAGCUCCGCCCCUUUUCACCACGACAUUUCCGGGUUGUUACCGAGUGCUGCUUCCGGCCUGUUUGCCUCCCAGGAGUGUCCCCGGAGUGUCCCCAAGGGGUCCCCGCCGUGUCCCCAGCGGCUAUGGAGCCCUGUGGUGUGCGACAAUUCCAGCGCAAGGUGCUGGGGGCAGAGGUGGACGUGGUGGCCGCCCUGGGUGAGCUGUUGGCCACUGUGACCGUGCCAGAUAGGAGCCUGUGGCCACUCCUGUACCCAGACUCCCUGCACGCAGACCUGAGGAAAUUCAUCUGGACCCUCCGGGACACCCUGGAGCAUUGCGCUGUCCCCUCCCAGGGCCAGCACGGUGUCACCUCUGUGUGCCAGGCCCUGGCUGCCCUCAAGGCCACCCCAGGGGCCUCCUGGCCUGAUGUGAGAGCCACGGUCAGAGCUUGGCUGGAGUCAGUGAAGGCGCUCAGGAAGAGCUGGGAUAGGCUGUACUGGGACACUGUACAUCUCCUCAGCACCCGCUGGGGUGAGGACACUGACGAGGACACUGAUGAGGACACUGAUGAGGACACUGCCAAGGCCACUGCCACUGGCCUGGCCAGGGACCUGCAGGAAGAGACCCCCCUCGGCUGGGGGACAGCUGGGGACAGCCUGGUGGCAGCAGCCCGGAAGCCGCCAGUGGCCCUGUCCUCAGCAGUGGCCACACCCGAUGCCCCCAUGGCAGCAGCCACCAAUGCCAGGGAAGACGCUGAGGUGGCAACCAGGCAGACGGGGGCGGCCUCCGGGCGGGAACUGCAGGUGAAGGAGGCCCAGGAGCUGCUGAAGCGCUUGAAGGUCGCGUGUAUCAAAGUCAUCCUGUUCUCCUGGGACAUAGAAGAGUGCGUCUGGUACGAGGUCCGUAAACAGGGGACAGAGGAGCUGCCCCCCAAUGUUCUCGAGCGGUUUGUGGCCGCAGUGGCCGAGGCUGAGUGGCUGUGGGAGGCCAGCACCCGCCUGACCACACGUCACUUGCUGGGGACACUUGGGGAAAUCGCCUUCCUCCUCUCGAGUCCCUGUGGUGGCUCCAGUGGCCCUGGUGGUUCCUUUAGCCCUGGUGGCCCCGGUGGCCUCUCAGUCGCCAAGCGGUGCCGAGAAGCCACCGAGGACACCCUGAGGCCCUGCAAAGAGCAGCGCACAGCACCACCACAUGGGGACACCAAUCAUGGCAGCUCAAUCCCAGGAACACCUGAACAACCUGAAGGGACCUGGGGAAAACCCGAGCCAGGAGCAGUUUGUGACAUUGUCAGACAGCUUCCAAGGGACCCCGACUUAUUACCCCCAGGGACACGAUGUGAACUGGCAACUUCCAAAUUGAUACGUUUUUUAAAAGACUAUCGCCUUGAAUUUUGCAUUCCCAUAGGAGUUACUGGUAUUUCACACCAAAGACAAGACUUCCUAAUUAUAGGCAAGGACAGUAAUAGAACUCUUGGAUUUUCAGUUCUUCCAGCUGUGGUUUCAGCAAAUUGUAAUGAAGAGCUGAGGGUUUUAGUUCUUCCUUACAAGGCUCCACUGGUAAUUCAACCCAACACACCAAUAGCUAUUGCUAUUGCAUUGCCAAUGAAUACAAAUAAGCAAACUGGAUACCCAGAAAUGCCUUUUAAAAGCUCUAACCCUCAUGGCCGUUGGAUAAAACGUAUCACCAAUGAACGGCCAGAGCUGACCUGCAGUCUGACACACCAUGGUAAAAUAGUUCACAUUACAGGCAAGCUGGACACAGGGUCAGACGUCACUGUGAUUUCUUAUGAGUUUUGGCCGAGCGAUUGGAAUCUGGUACCACCGGAGCGUGGUCUCACAGGGAUUGGAGGAGCUACAGUGUGUAUGCAAAGUGAAUCCAUGAUUACUGUCACAGGUCCUGAAGGGAAGACAGCGACCACCCGUCCCUAUGUGGUGAGGCAGCAGGUUGUACUAUGGGGGAGAGACGUGAUGUCCCAGUGGAGAGCAAAGAUGGAAUUGGAUUCUUGAUGGAAACCACAGGGAUUAUUAGGUUAUCAUUAUUAAGUUUUCAUUAUUAUCGUGGAAAAGCAAUCAGCCCAUUUGGAUAGAUCUGUGGCCUCUUGAACAGAAAAAAUUUAGUGAGUGAACAACUCAAAAAAUUAGUGAACAAACAACUACAAAAAGGCCAUACCAAAUACAGAAAUAGUCCUUGGAAUUCCCCAUGUUUAAUCAUUCACAAGAAGACUUCUCAGAUUCCUGGAGAUUGCUUCAUGACUUGAAGAUCAGCAAAUUGAUAGAAGACAUGAGGCAUUUACAACCUGGACUUCCUUCUCUUUCAGUGAUUCCAAGAGACUGGCCUCAUGUUAUCCACUUAAAAGAUUGUUUUUUCAACAUUCCACUUCAUCCAGAGGAUGCUCCUCAAUUUGCCUUUUUGGUUCCAGCCAUCAGUAGAGGAGAACCAUUGCAAAGGUACCACUGGACGGUUUAGUUGCAAGAGAUGAAAAGGACCUGCAGCUGGCCCUGACCCUGCCAGACCCGAGAACGGCCCCGCGCCCGGUCCCAGUGAACCUGUGAGGGGUCCGUUCCAUCCUGCCAGUGACUUACUUAGGCUUGUAGGGGCCCCACCAACACAAGUGGGCUCCCUGCUUUGAACAGCAGCCCCACAAAUUAAAGGUGUUUGAACACCGCAGGAAUUUAGACAAUUUCCUGCAGCGCUAUUGCGCAUGUGCGGCACAGCUGCCCUCACAGCAAAAUGGCGGCUCCCUGCAAAGACCUUCCAUACAACAAAAUGGCCGCUCCCUGUGUUUUUCCGUACAACAAGAUGGCGGCGCCCCAUAUGGAGCAUGCGCACUGCCGCCAGCGCCAUUUUGUAACCACCGAGACUCACAUCCUCCAACCACGGCGCCAUCUCUGGCCCCCGCACGCACUGCAGGGUCGGGCGGCCCCGGAACACCGGCGGCGGAAGUGCCGCGACUGCGAGCGGCUCCAAGGGAUUGCGGCACCGGGCUGCCACCGGAGGGGUCCCUGUGCCCCCCACAGCAGGAACUGCCUGCUGUGAGGGCAGGCGACCCUGGAGCACGGCCAAAGAGGCUUUCAGCACCCCCACCAUCGGCAUAGUCCUGCCGUGGGGAGCAGCCCUAUCGAGGUUCAGGCUUCUUUUCAGCCUCUGCCAGUGCCGGGAUUGGAGCACGGGAGACACAGUUUUGGUGUUUGGACUCAGGAUUUUAUUAAUUCUUACCUACAUUACAGCCUCACAAGCCGUGAGUUCUGCACACUAACUAGCUAAGCACAAAAUGGACAGUCUCACUCUAUCUCUACCCGCUCUUUUCAAGGACAAAUCAUCCAAUUAAAAAGUGACACUCAAAUGAUUUCUGUUUUUAACCCAAUGACCCUUCACCAGUGGUCCGCAAUGCAGACUUUAUUACCCAAUCAAAGAAACCGCCCAAACCCAUGGAGAAGAAGGUGGAGAAGAAGGGGCAAAAUGACAACUGAUCCAAAUCCUCCAUCUUGCUCUCUCUCAGUAUCACUAUAUACUAAAACCCCAAACUCUGAUUUUUCCACCCCGUGUUACAGCACACCUCCAAUUCAAACUACACCCCUGUGAUGUCAGUGCUAUCACCCAUUUUUGGAAGGCUGUUCCAAGGCCUCAGGUCAAACGCAGUGCUUCCCUGGGGGUCAGUGCCCAUCAGCACAGAGAGUCCAAAAUUCUCAGCAUCCAGAGAUCCUACACACCCUGAAAUCAGAAUGAGACAAUCACAACCCCCUGAUGUCACAACACCUAAAAAUCCCCUAGGCCCCGCUUCUGCCCCCUCAGUCUCACAUCCCUCAGGUGCUGCAAAGAGAGGGGGGAGCGGGGGGCACUGGGAUGAUGAGGGGCUCCUCGCCAUGCCACCAUCUACAGCAAUAAAGCCAGGAACAUCAGAGCCACAUCUCACAUUUGUAGAUCACCCAACAGAUGUGACAGAGAAACAAUGCAAGGAUGACCUGGCAUGUCUUUAGCUGCUUCCAAAUUUUGCCUUUGUCAAUGCUAAUGAGGAAUGCAAACGAAUAAUUAGAGCCUUGCCUGACCCACAGCCUGCCUUACUUCAAAUGAUCCAAGUUUGUAAAGAAGAGAUCUGACAGUAUAUUACAAAACCCAUUGGUGCUUUUAAAUUAUGUUAAGUUUAGGCCCCUGUUAAGCUUCAAUUACUUUUGAGUUUUAAGUGUAAGUUUUGUAAGAUUUAAGUGAUAUUAGGUUUAUAUUCUAUUACAAAGAUAAUACAAUUUGAGAUUCUUUUUGCCAAAAUUUAUCCAUAUCAAGUUUAAGUUUUAUUCAAUUUAAAAAUUAUCCUAGGUUUUGUGAAAAUAUGCUUACCUAAUUAGCAAAGUUUAGUUAUUUUCUCUUAGAAUAAGACUGAAACAGCUGAAACACUGACGAACACCUGUUUGUGGACGGAAGAAGAUACAGUUUUUUGGACCCUUGAUUUCCUGAAAGGUUUUAUUAUUUAUUACAAUCUCUGCUGUUUUAUCUUCCGUACAUAAUACAGAAGAGUCAUGACAAUUCUACAUCGAGGCUGUUAUUGGUUGUGAGCUGUUUUAUUGUUUUUCUGUGUUUUAUCUCAAGGUCAAAAGUACAUGACUCUUUAAAAAGGUGUUAACUUCCUACGAUGAUUGGUGCUGAUAUAUUGAUUACUUGAUGUGAAUUUGUUAAUUUUCUAUAUUUAUAACUGACUUCUCAUAUCCUUUAACAUUUCUUUUCCUAUUAUCCAAAAGAUGCAUGUCAUUUCAAGAUCCUUCCUUUUUAUUUUCUAACUGCUUAAGCAUUUCAUAACUGCUGCUGUUAAGAUCUUUGUUUUAGAAAUGUAUUUAGGGACCUCACUCCAGUUUAGAGCCUGAGCCCUGGCCAGGCCCUGACUCUACCUGGAUGGAUGUUUUGCCAACAAGCCCAGAUGUUUUCUGCAUCAAAACUAGAUUCAAGUCAUUUGACUUGGCAAUUUGACCCUAUAAAAUGACAGCCAGACCGAUCUUUGGAGUGGACCUGAGCAUCUUACCUGGGAAAGGAUGUUCGAGUCCCCACUGGAAAGAGGUGCAGGACCCAGGUGGAUUCCAGCCAAGAACAUGAAGCCACAUCAAGCACAGAAACACGCUGACAACUCCAAGAGCAGGGGAGCAAGCAUGCAAGAUGUGAACUGCACAGAGACUGUAGCUAAUGGCAGAAAUCUUUUGUCCCACGUGCAAGAACUGUGAACCUUGGGUUUUGUGUCAAUGUAAAAAGUGUGGGAAUUGUUGGUAUUGUGGAGCUCUACUGGCACAGGUGUGGUGUGCAUCGUGUCAUGAUUUAGAAUCCCAAACAAAGCACAAAGCCUUUGAAUUUUUAGUUGCAGUGGGUCAUGAAGAAGAAAAUAGCCCCCAUGUUCCUAUUCUUAGGGAGGAAUGUAGAAGAGAAUUUUUGAUAGAAUCAAAAGAGAUUCAAAUUUGCAGAGUUGAAUACAAACCAAAUAAUUUAGUGGCCGGUCCGGGAACAAAUUUGUGAAAAAACAAAAAAAGGGAUGUGCUAAAAGAUUUGCUUGGAAAUGAAAAAUUAAAAAGGAAGUGCCUUAAAUCAAAAAGCAUGAAGGUAAAUCAGGUAUCAUAUCUAGAUCUAUUUUGUUUGCCUUCAGCAAUGCAACCUUACCUGUCGAUCAACCAAAGACCAAUGUUUGGGGAUCAGUAGUGUUGUAGAAUUCCUUUGUUAGAGAAUAGUUGAAGGGAAACAUGGGGCUCUGUUGAAUGUUAUGCUUGUGCUUUUUUGCUUUGCUUGCUUUUAGUAAUUUGCUUGCUUUUAGCAGUGCAAAUUUGCCAAUUAGUCAACCUAAAACAAAUGUCUGGGUGGCUUUAGCCAAUGCAUCAGAUUUAAAUAUCCUCUGUAUUUCCUAUACAACCGCAAAAAGCCAUUUUCCACCUGUUUAGCAGGUGUGCCAGUGGAUACUUGGCCAAUUCCAGAGAAAACUGACAGAGCCAUUCAAGGUACACUCACAGGAUCAUCCACAUGGGAUCUUUGGUCCCUAGUAGAGGCAUGGGACUGGUGCAUUCCUCACCUUCCCAAGGCAUCUCAUGAACCAGAAGAAUUGGACAUCUUUGGUUCUGUAAACAUGUUUCUUUUCGUGCCAAACUUAACUGUAUGGGGAAAGAUCAAUUUUUGGUCAAAGAUGUUUCUCCUUACCACUCCACAUAUAUGAGAUUAAUUGGUGUAAUCAUGCUUCUUUAAUUCAAAACGCAUUUAAUGAUUUGUCUGACUGGCACAUGGGUAUGGGUGUGAAGAUUUUGAAGGGAUUUGUUGUACGAAUUUAUCCGAUCACUCAGGAUCUAUUCAUAAAAAUGUACAAAACCUUAAGGAAAGUGUACAAAAAAUUAAAAUUAAUGAUGAGACUUGACAACCCAUUUAAUAGAUACAAUCUUACAUUGUAGGUGAAAGAGCUUUUAAAAAUGAGUAUAUAUAUUUAUAUGAGUCAUCAUAAUUAGUUGUGCUAAUAGUGUCUUAUUUGCUCCAGUGCAUUCAACAAAUAAUUAAUAAAGCAAUUAAAAGAG